GACGGAGGGUGCAAACGUUGCUCGGAAUUACUGGGCGUAAAGAGCUCGUAGGUGGUUCGGUAAGUCGGAUGUGAAAUCUCCAGGCUCAACCUGGAGGGGUCAUUCGAUACUGCCGUGACUAGAGGUCGGUAGGGGAGUGUGGAAUUCCUGGUGGAGCGGUGAAAUGCGCAGAUAUCAGGAGGAACACCCGUAGCGAAGGCGGCACUCUGGGCCGAUACUGACACUGAGGAGCGAAAGCGUGGGGAGCGAACAGG
This 254-nucleotide ribosomal RNA is filed under the name uncultured bacterium. RNAcentral's name for it is "partial 16S ribosomal RNA". It matches the Rfam family "Bacterial small subunit ribosomal RNA", at positions 524 to 776 of the family's 1533-position model. The record is from RNAcentral.